GGGCGCGUAGCUCAAUUGGCAGAGCAAGGGACUCUUAAUCCCUAGGUUCGGGGUUCGACUCCCCGCGCGCUCACCA
RNAcentral lists this transfer RNA (76 nucleotides) under Pseudomonadota bacterium. Its description in RNAcentral is "Proteobacteria bacterium tRNA-Lys". It matches the Rfam family "tRNA". From Rfam's summary of the family: Transfer RNA (tRNA) molecules are approximately 80 nucleotides in length. Their secondary structure includes four short double-helical elements and three loops (D, anti-codon, and T loops). The record is from RNAcentral. Lineage: Bacteria; Pseudomonadati; Pseudomonadota. RNAcentral also lists the same sequence under 2 other names.